RNAcentral lists this ribosomal RNA (504 nucleotides) under uncultured bacterium. RNAcentral's name for it is "partial 16S ribosomal RNA". It matches the Rfam family "Bacterial small subunit ribosomal RNA", at positions 28 to 507 of the family's 1533-position model. The record is from RNAcentral.
GACGAACGCUGGCGGCGUGCUUAACACAUGCAAGUCGAACGGUGAAGCGCUUGCCUUUUUGGUGGGUGUGGAUGAGUGGCGAACGGGUGAGUAACACGUGAGUAACCUGCCCUCUUCUUCUGGAUAACCUCAUGAAAGUGGGGCUAAUACGGGGUAUUCCGGGUCUGUCGCAUGGCGGGUUUGGGAAAGAUUGCGCCUUUGGGUGUUUUCGGUGGGGGAUGGGCUCGCGGCCUAUCAGCUUGUUGGUGGGGUGAUGGCCUACCAAGGCGGUGACGGGUAGCCGGCCUGAGAGGGUGGACGGCCACACUGGGACUGAGACACGGCCCAGACUCCUGCGGGAGGCAGCAGUGGGGAAUAUUGCACAAUGGGCGCAAGCCUGAUGCAGCGACGCUGCGUGAGGGAUGGAGGCCUUCGGGUUGUGAACCUCUUUCGCCAGUGAAGCAGGCCUGCUCCUGUGUGGGUGGGUUGACGGUAGCUGGAUAAGAAGCGCCGGCUAACUACGUG